RNAcentral lists this ribosomal RNA (406 nucleotides) under uncultured bacterium. Its description in RNAcentral is "partial 16S ribosomal RNA". It matches the Rfam family "Bacterial small subunit ribosomal RNA", at positions 28 to 526 of the family's 1533-position model. The record is from RNAcentral.
GAUGAACGCUGGCGGCAGGCCUAACACAUGCAAGUCGAACGAGUGGCGGACGGGUGAGUAAUGUCUGGGAAACUGCCCGAUGGAGGGGGAUAACUACUGGAAACGGUAGCUAAUACCGCAUACCAUCGGAUGUUCCCAGAUGGGAUUAGCUUGUAGGUGAGGUAACGGCUCACCUGGGCGACGAUCCCUAGCCGGUCUGAGCGGAUGACCAGCCACACGGGAACUGAGACACGGUCCAGACUCCUCCGGGAGGAAGCAGUGGGGAAGAUUGCACAAGGGGCGAAAGCCUGAUGAAGCCAUGACGCGUGUAGGAAGAAGGCCUUCGGGUUGUAAAGUACUUUCAGCGGGGAGGCGUUACCCGCAGAAGAAGCACCGGCUAACUCCGUGCCAGCAGCCGCGGUAAUAC